This 896-nucleotide ribosomal RNA is filed under the name Escherichia coli. Its description in RNAcentral is "partial 23S ribosomal RNA". It matches the Rfam family "Bacterial large subunit ribosomal RNA", at positions 911 to 1789 of the family's 2925-position model. The record is from RNAcentral. Lineage: Bacteria; Pseudomonadati; Pseudomonadota; Gammaproteobacteria; Enterobacterales; Enterobacteriaceae.
UGUUUCGGCAAGGGGGUCAUCCCGACUUACCAACCCGAUGCAAACUGCGAAUACCGGAGAAUGUUAUCACGGGAGACACACGGCGGGUGCUAACGUCCGUCGUGAAGAGGGAAACAACCCAGACCGCCAGCUAAGGUCCCAAAGUCAUGGUUAAGUGGGAAACGAUGUGGGAAGGCCCAGACAGCCAGGAUGUUGGCUUAGAAGCAGCCAUCAUUUAAAGAAAGCGUAAUAGCUCACUGGUCGAGUCGGCCUGCGCGGAAGAUGUAACGGGGCUAAACCAUGCACCGAAGCUGCGGCAGCGACGCUUAUGCGUUGUUGGGUAGGGGAGCGUUCUGUAAGCCUGUGAAGGUGUGCUGUGAGGCAUGCUGGAGGUAUCAGAAGUGCGAAUGCUGACAUAAGUAACGAUAAAGCGGGUGAAAAGCCCGCUCGCCGGAAGACCAAGGGUUCCUGUCCAACGUUAAUCGGGGCAGGGUGAGUCGACCCCUAAGGCGAGGCCGAAAGGCGUAGUCGAUGGGAAACAGGUUAAUAUUCCUGUACUUGGUGUUACUGCGAAGGGGGGACGGAGAAGGCUAUGUUGGCCGGGCGACGGUUGUCCCGGUUUAAGCGUGUAGGCUGGUUUUCCAGGCAAAUCCGGAAAAUCAAGGCUGAGGCGUGAUGACGAGGCACUACGGUGCUGAAGCAACAAAUGCCCUGCUUCCAGGAAAAGCCUCUAAGCAUCAGGUAACAUCAAAUCGUACCCCAAACCGACACAGGUGGUCAGGUAGAGAAUACCAAGGCGCUUGAGAGAACUCGGGUGAAGGAACUAGGCAAAAUGGUGCCGUAACUUCGGGAGAAGGCACGCUGAUAUGUAGGUGAAGCGACUUGCUCGUGGAGCUGAAAUCAGUCGAAGAUACCAG